Long non-coding RNA from Rhinopithecus roxellana (golden snub-nosed monkey), 3573 nucleotides. RefSeq lists it as uncharacterized. The record is from RefSeq and is a predicted model, not a curated record. The transcript has 2 exons. NCBI's taxonomy places the organism in Eukaryota, Metazoa, Chordata, Mammalia, Primates, Cercopithecidae.
UUAGACCAUGCCUGUAUGGAUGCCCCUCUUUAAAAAGGGGAUAAUAAGUCACAUUCGGAUUAUAGUGAAGGGAUUCAAUGUCAGGAAAUAGUUGAAGGAAGACAGUAUGUUUAAUAUGGAAAAGAGAAGGCCUCACACAGACUCUGCUGAUAGUCUUCAAAUAAGUAAGAGAGUGUGCUUUAGAAAAACAUUAUGUUUGUACUAUAGGACCUAGAGUACCCCAGAAAUAAGAGGGGUAGACAGAGGCUAUGGGAAGAUUUCCAUUCAGCUUAAUAAAGAACCUUGAAAACAUUUGCUUCCCAAAGGUGGAAGGGAUUGCUUUAUGAGGUUUCAUAUCAUGUUGCAGGGUUGCAAAUGUAUAAGCCUUCUGGGGCUAGGUGGUAAAUAAAUAUAACAGAGGUUAAGAGUAUCAGACCAUAGGGAGUGGUGAGGAUUGACAAACUGGAGACCAUGUCCCUGCCUAAAGUCAUUUUGAUUCACUUUUUAAAGUUAUAUUGACCAGCUAAAAACUAUAUAUGGAUAGGGCCAUGACUAGCCUAUACAGAGCUUUUGUGCCAGUUAGAAAAAAAUGUGUUUCUUUCUUAUUUUAUUUCCUUCUUUUAGAAAAUCGUCUUACUAUUUCUUUUUAAAAACAAGGCACUUUACUGUCCUGGAAAUGGGUGAUAAAUCUACAACACUGGUGGCCCUAUGGUUGGCAGGGUCCUAUGGUUUGUAGGACCCUAUGGAUGGACUGGAUUCAUAGCCCUAUGGAUGGAUUGGAUUCAGCCCUCUGGAGCCCAGGUUACAACCCUUGUGACUGUAAACCUGUUUCUGAAUGUAAAACUGAUGAAAUUAGGAGAGAAAAGUAUUGGUCUAAUAUUAUCAGACAGCAAAAUCAUAGUGUUCAGGCUAGGAAGACCCUAGGAACAUGGGAGGCACAGCAUCUACCCUCAGGGAGGUUUGGGGCUGGAGGAGGAAGCAGGUGAGUUAGCAGAGCAUCGUGGCACUCGAGGUGUCAGGAGAGAAUUCAUCUGUGGUAUGUGUAUUCAGGGCAGACAGCAGGUCAGUUCUACCUAAAGAGGAGUGGGGGGACAGAUUUAAUAGAGGAGGUGAGGCUUGGAGAGAAAACCUUGAGUGUGACAACCUUCACAUCGUGGCAUCCUCUCUCCUGGGAAGUGAGACUGUCAGUAGAGGAGGGCCCUUUGGGCUGAGCUCAGAACCACAUACAUUCCAUUUUGCCUAGCCCUUUGUAGCAUCAGUUUUUCAUGCUGGAGAGCUGGAAACAAGAGGAAAGGCAGACUAUUUGUUUUAAAGCCCGUCUUCCAAGUCAUAUUGAAUGUUCUUAGGCCUCCCACAUGGUAGAUUGAGGCUGACUCAGGGCCAUAGACUGGGCAGAGAUCACUGGCACAGCCUGUACACCAGCUCUUUAGCUGCCCUCACCUAAACCUCUUGACUUGGUCCCUUAAUCCUUAAUUAAUCUGGAAUCCACAGGUUGCACAGGGAUAUGAUUCCUAGAUACUGUGACUCUCGAGUCCCUUCUCCUUUCCCACUACUGCUGCUUGUGUCCCCAGAUGCCUGGACUUCUCCAACGGCCUUUCUCUUUAGAGACGUCCACAAUCUGCUGAAUACAUAGUUGUGUUUAGGUCACUUUUGCAUUCAAAAACCCCUCAAUGGCUCCCUAUUGCCUUUUCCCAUCAAAGGAAGACAAAUUCCUCAGCCUGAAAUUCAGAAUCCUCUUAACAGCUUCGCUACCCUUCUUUCUAAAACAUCUGUUCAUCUUCAACUCUGGUGAGCGCUUUGUUCUAGCAAGUGGUUCCUCAUCUGCAUCUUUGCGGAGAUUUUCUCUAGGGGAAGAAAGACCUUGGAUAGGGCAAGGUAGAAAACCUGCUUUUUUUCCUAGCUCAAAAACCAACUCCAUGUAUGACUAGUCAAACCACUUAACCUCUCUGGGCUCAGUUUCCUCCUCUGAAGAAAACAGGACUUUGGACAAGAGCAGGGAUCUGGGACCUAUUUGUUGAAUUCAGUUAUAUGCACUCUUUCUCAUCACUAUGGCUUAUCUAUUAUGGGUGCACUACAGGUGCACUGAGCUCUUUGUAAGCAUUUUCUCAUUUCACAUGAGUGGUAGUCAGCCUUCAAGAUGGUUCCAAUGAUGCUUGCCUCCUGGUAUUCAUCUUUGUGAAUCCCCUCUCACAUUAAAUCAGAGCUAACCUGCCAUCUGUAGAAUACUUACAGAUGCGGUGUGUGAUUUUUGAGGCGAGGUCAUAAAAGGCAUUGUCAACUUCCUCCUUGGUCCCUUGAAUUGCCCCUUCUGGGGGAAGCCAGACACCGUGCUGUGAGGACACUCAAGCAGCAAUGUGGAGAUGGCUAUGGAGAGAAGACCUCCCACCAACAGCCACCACUGACUUGCCAGUCCUUUGUUAACAGCCAGCUUGGAAGCAGAUCUUCCAGCCCCAGUUAGGCCUUCAUGUGACUGCAGCCUCGCCGAAGACCCAGAGCUAGAAACAUCUAGCUGAACUGCCCCCAGAUUUCUGAUCCAAAGAAACUAUGAGAUAAUAAAUGAUCAGUGUUGUUGUAAGCCCCUAAGUCUUUGAGUAAUUUGCUUCAUAGCAAUAGAUCACUAAUACUAUUUGUAUUAUCUCUGACAGAUGAGGAAAAUGAGGUUCAGAGCAGUUUAAUAGCCCAUCUGAGGUUGCGAACUGGUGAGUGACAGGACAGGGAUGCAAAUCCAGGUCUGCCUGACUUCUUACCCAUCACGUUAUACGCCUCAUGCCUCAGUGUCCCUCUGCCAGGUUCAGAGGAGAUUGCUGAACUAGAAGAUUGAAUUGAGAUUGGAGUCUUCCUGGAAUAAAUAAAAGAACAGUCACUAAAGGGUAAUGGGAUCCAUUUAUUAUUCUGCCAGGCUCCUUUGCAUACUAUUCUAACAAACUCCUUGGGUGAAUAAGAACCAAAGCCGGUCUUUAGAACACUGGGACUCACAGAUGGAGGAUGGGAAAAGUGCUGUGCUCAUGGAAAAAAUAUUUCAUUUGUUGACUUGGCUUUAAAUUGUAUUACAGUUGAAAAUGGGAGAAGCACUUGUGGUUAAUUUAACAGAUCCAUUAGUGAAAGGACCCUUAGAAAUCUGUCGAAACUUUUUAUUAUAUAAAUAGGGAAAUUUCUCAGAUGGGAAAAAUAACUUGCUCUAACUCAAAUUACAAGAGCCACAUGUCACUUGUUCAUCAUUUUGUGGCCAAACAACUCUAUGCAGGUUGUUCUGAAUCAUAGUUAUUAUCCUUGGACUGUUUGUUAAUGGUUGUUACUGACUCUUAAUGGUCUGUGUUGUUUACCUUCCAAGGGUCUAACAUUUUAACAUGUAAAAGAACCUUGUAGCAUAGGAAGAAGAAGGUUUCGAUGGUAAAAUCAACCCUAAGGCCACCUAGUAAACUCAAUGAGCAGGGGCUCUUAACCUGAGGUCCUUAGAAGGGCUUUAACCUGCUGGGUGCAGUGGCUCUUGCCUGUAAUCCCAGCACUUUGGGAGGCCGAGGCGGGCGGAUCACUUGAAGUCAGGAGUUUGAGACCACCCUGGCCAAUGUGGUGCAAUCCCGUCUCUACUAAAAA